AUGAUUGAGGAAGUACAGAGGCAAAUGGCAGGUCUCAAAUUUCCUGGUGAUGGGAAAACAGGCUACAAUUACCCAUCGGCCAGCCAGCGAACCAGUCCACAGCCGGCAGAGCCACCACAUUCCAAUACGCCCUACCACCAUGCACCUGUAGAACAGCCCCGGCCUGGAUUCUCUCAGCCGUACCCUCCCUACUCGUCACAGCCGCCUUACCAUUCCCAAACCGGUCAAUACCAACAUCCUCCACAGCAGCCCGGUCAUGAACACGGGCAACCUGGUUACCCCGGCUGGCGUGGGCCCUACUACAACACGCAUCAGCCGCCACCAGGUCCGUAUUCUCAGCCGCCAUACACCACGCCAGGUCCUUAUCCCCCUCACCAGGGUCCUUACUACAGGCCGCAAUAGAUGAACUCCUGAGUCCUCGUUUUCUUACUUGUCGUAU
Molecule: unclassified non-coding RNA, 439 nt
Filed under: Hevea brasiliensis (rubber tree)
Lineage: Eukaryota; Viridiplantae; Streptophyta; Magnoliopsida; Malpighiales; Euphorbiaceae
Source: RNAcentral